RNAcentral lists this ribosomal RNA (490 nucleotides) under uncultured bacterium. Its description in RNAcentral is "partial 16S ribosomal RNA". It matches the Rfam family "Bacterial small subunit ribosomal RNA", at positions 30 to 507 of the family's 1533-position model. The record is from RNAcentral.
AUUGAACGCUGGCGGCAGGCCUAACACAUGCAAGUCGAACGGUAACAGGAAGAAGCUUGCUUCUUUGCUGACGAGUGGCGGACGGGUGAGUAAUGUCUGGGAAACUGCCUGAUGGAGGGGGAUAACUACUGGAAACGGUAUCUAAUACCGCAUAACGUCGCAAGACCAAAGAGGGGGACCUUCGGGCCUCUUGCCAUCGGAUGUGCCCAGAUGGGAUUAGCUAGUAGGUGGGGUAACGGCUCACCUAGGCGACGAUCCCUAGCUGGUCUGAGAGGAUGACCAGCCACACUGGAACUGAGACACGGUCCAGACUCCUACGGGAGGCAGCAGUGGGGAAUAUUGCACAAUGGGCGCAAGCCUGAUGCAGCCAUGCCGCGUGUAUGAAGAAGGCCUUCGGGUUGUAAAGUACUUUCAGCGGGGAGGAAGGGAGUAAAGUUAAUACCUUUGCUCAUUGACGUUACCCGCAGAAGAAGCACCGGCUAACUCCGUG